RNAcentral lists this ribosomal RNA (436 nucleotides) under uncultured archaeon. RNAcentral's name for it is "bacterial SSU rRNA". It matches the Rfam family "Archaeal small subunit ribosomal RNA", at positions 474 to 903 of the family's 1478-position model. The record is from RNAcentral.
UACCAGCUCUCCGAGUGGUAGGGAUGGUUUAUUAGGGCCGUUAAAGCGUCCCGUAGCCGGCUUAGCAAGUCUCCUGUUAAAUUCAGCGACCUAAUCGUUGAGCCGCGGGAGAUACUACUAGGCUAGGAGGCGGGAGAGGUCAACGGUACUUCCGGGGUAGGGGUGAAAUCCUAUAAUCCCGGGAGGACCACCAGUGGCGAAGGCUGUUGACUAGAACGCGCGUCGACGGUGAGGGACGAAAGCUGGGGGAGCGAACCGGAUUAGGUACCCGGGUAGUCCCAGGCUGUAAACGAUGCGAGCUAGGUGUUGGGGUGGCUACGUGCCACUUCAGUGCCGCAGGGAAGCCAUUAAGCUCGCCGCCUGGGGAGUACGGCCGCAAGGCUGAAACUUAAAGGAAUUGGCGGGGGAGCACCACAAGGCGUGAAGCUUGCGGUUC